Molecule: long non-coding RNA, 3194 nt
Organism: Phascolarctos cinereus (koala)
Lineage: Eukaryota; Metazoa; Chordata; Mammalia; Diprotodontia; Phascolarctidae
Source: RefSeq, a predicted model, not a curated record
GGGUUAGUGCUCUAUCCACUGUACCACCUAGCUGCCCCUGAGUUACUGAUCUCUUUUGGUGGAAGGAAUUUCCUUUACCUGUAGUUACCAACACAUACAAAAUCACAGGUCUAAACCAAAACAUCUGCUGUUUAAGUUUCUAAAUACACUUUGAUGUGUGUGUGUGUGUAUAUACACACACACAUACACACACACACACACAUACACACACGGAUGUAUGGGACCAUACUUGUAUACAUUUGCAUGAAUAUAUCUAUAUAGUUAUAUGUAUCUAUAGGGAUGUAUAGAGAGUUCUAUUCAUUAGUAGCAGAGUCAAAUUAAUUUCCUAAAUCUGUGCCUUGAGUAUAUCCCUUAGAUUUAAUCUCUUUUCCUACAAUUUAUUCUUAUAAGUACAUUUUUUUUGGGGGCAGGUUAAUUGCUGACGUAGAUGUCACAUGUUCCCAACAACUAGAAGUCUUUCUCUCCUCAUCUCUGCCUCCCGGCUUCCCUGGCUUCCUUCAAGUCUCAGAUAAAGUCUCACCUUCUACAAGAAGUCAGUGUCACUCCUCCUUAAUCUCAGUGCCUUCUCUCUGAGAUUAUCUCCAGUUUCUUCGUAUAUAUCUUGUUUUCGUGGUGUUGUUUUCACUUUGACUCACCCAGUAAACUGUGAGCACCUGAAGAACAGAUGAUUUUUGCCUUUCUUUUUAUUUCUAGCACUUAGCACAGCACUCGGCGCAUAGUAGAUAAAUGCUUGCUUAUUUGAGUAGAAAAAAAAAUCAACUUCUGGUCACCUGUGAAAUGUCCUCCAUGCCACACUAAAACAGUAGAGCACUUACCAUUAUGUGUACAUACACCACAGACACAUUUAUGCACUGACAAAUGGAUCUUGAAUAGUUAUAUGAAAUGGCUGUUAAAUACCUGAGCUAAGCUAGAUGCCAAAUUCCAUCUUUCUAUGAAAGACGGAAGGGGAAGGCUGACAAAUAACUUAAACUUAUAAAUGAGACAAAAAUAAAUUAAUUGUAGGGGUUUCACAGAGCCUCAUUUCCUGAUGUGUAGUAGGGAAGUCCUAUUAUUGUAAACAUCCAUGUCCAGACAAGAUUUCUUUGCUUAGCCUGAUCCAUUCAGUGAAACCUGACAUAGAAGAGCAAAUGUAUACAAGGGCUCUUGCUUUGCAGUCCUCUUUUGUGAUUUCCCCUUAAGAUUUUGGGAAGAUUUUCCCAUUUUAAGGAAAUCUCCUUAGGCAACCUUCCAUAUCACUUCAAUCAAGAGAGAGCAAGAAACACUGUAGGAGAAUCAGGGGCUCAUGGGAUUUAGAGUUAGAAGAAACCAUUGAAGUCACUUAGUAAGGAAUUCUUAACCUUAUUUUGUGUUAUGGACUUCUUUGGCAGUCUGGUGAAGAGUAUGGACUUCUCAGAAUUAUGUUUUUAAAUAAUUGAAAGAAAUGCUAAAUUUCAGUUAGAGGCAUUGUUUUUCACAUCUAAGUUCAUGUAUCGCUUGAAACCUUAGGUCUGUGGGUCCAAGUGAAGAACACCUGAUCUAAUCUAUCUGCAUUAUUUUAUAAAGGCAGGUCAACAGAGGGGAUAAUGUUUAUAAUGCAAGAAGGACAUUUAACUUACCAGCUUCACAAACAGGAGUGUAAAUUCACAUUUUUGUCUUCAACCAUAUCUCUUUGGUUGGUAUUUGUCCUGCCAACCCCUCCCCCAGCUCAGUUCAGCAAAUUUCUUCUGUUGGGACUCAUCCAUGAGAGAUGGCAUACCAAAGGCAACAGAAUGCUAUGGUCAGGAUGGGAACUGAGAUGAUGGGAAGUGAAAAGGCAAGCAUUUCCCCACUCCUGGCUCUGUGGUAUAGUGGAAGGUAUGUUACCUCUGGACCUGGAGGAUCUGGGUUCAAAUCCUUGCCCUGCCAUUUACUAUCUGAGUCACCUCAAAUGAGACAUUUUAACCACUUUUCAUUUUGGUUUUCCUAACUGUGAGAUGAAGGUGUUUGACUAUAUGACCUCUAAAAUUCUCUCUAGCUCUAAAUUCUUCAAUUCUUUUAUCUUUCCUUCAAGGGAUAUUCUUUCAUUAUCAAGGGGUUCCUAAUCAUAAUAUGAAGCCUUGUUAAAGAUUAUAAAUCCUUCCCCCCACAACACUUUGUCCUCUGUUACAAUGAUGAUAAAAUAAAUAUGAACAGAUUUAAACAAAGAAAUAAAUAACCCAAAUCCAGCCCCAACUUAGACUUAGCUUCCAUUUUGACUUUCUUCAGGUUUGGUGACUGACCAUGCAUUUUCUAAGUUGAUUUUCUUCUAUGAACUUCCAGGUAACAAAGGCUAAAUAUACCUGGCUGGAGUGGGAACAAGGUGGGCACUGGUAUUUCUGCAGUGAGCUUUCUGAAGAUUUUUAAUGUUCCCACCAUCUUUGAGUGAGGCCCUGGGUUUUUCACUUCCAUAGUUUGGAAACCUUUGAUGAAGUGUUUGGGACUGGAGCCUAGCAUAAGGUCACUCUGGGACUGGAUCAGAACUCCAAAGGAGAAAAGGUAAAGGGAGAAGAGCAGAGGGCUGUGGACCUUCAUCUUUUGAAUGCUGGAAGAUAAAGGAUCAGGUGGCUUCCUGAGAACCAGGAAUGUAAGGUAGCACAGUGAUUGAAGUCCAGUGACAAGACAGUGUCAGGAUGAUUGCUGACAGCCCAGGAUGCAGUGGAUGACCUUGGUGUCUUUGGUAUCUGACCAGGCUCUAAGCACUCUCCAGCACCUGCCUCAGCCACCUUCAUGGCCAUUGGGAAAAAUUGUUUUUACCUGCCCAUUCCACCAGAGGAAGUCUUCACAUUCUUGGGGGUAGGCAUCACUCAACUCACUGAAGAGUUUGAGGUCUGUUGGUUACCCUCAACCUGGUUUAGCCCAUCUACCAAGAUGGUUUUACUGGGGUGUGGCCACGGCACCUGCUACAGUUUCUUGAAGCCACAGGUAAGAGUUGGGUGAUAGGUGGACACCAAAGAUCCAUAAGGAAUCCAUAAGCCUUGACAUCAGAAGUGCUAGUCCUCCCUGAACACCCUUGUUCUUCUAAUUUAUUUAUGUUGUGAGUUUUAAAAUAUUGAUCAUAUAUUCAUUUGGAGCUUUUUGUGGCAUAUGGUGUAAAUUGUUGAUCCAAAUCUAACUUCUGCCAGAUUGCUUUCCAGUUAUCAGCAAGCAAUGAGUCUUUGCCUCAGAAGUACUAAACUAUGCUACUACAUUCACUUGCU